GAUGAACGCUAGCGGCAGGCCUAAUACAUGCAAGCCGGACGGCAAGUUGAGUAGCAAUACUUGACCUAGAGUGGCGUAAGGGUGCGUAACACGUAUGCAAUCUGCCCACAGCCGGGAGAUAGCCCUCCGAAAGGAGGAUUAAUAUCCCAUAGGAAGAUGAGAUGGCAUCAUUUUAUUUUUAAACUACGGGGCUGUGGAUGAGCAUGCGGUUGAUUAGCUAGUUGGCGGGUAAAGGCCCACCAAGGCGAUGAUCAAUAGGGGGUCUGAGAGGAUGAUCCCCCACACUGGUACUGAGAUACGGACCAGACUCCUACGGGAGGCAGCAGUAGGGAAUAUUGGUCAAUGGGCGCAAGCCUGAACCAGCCAUGCCGCGUGCAGGAAGAAGGCCCUCUGGGUUGUAAACUGCUUUUGAUAGGGAACAAUGCCACUUGCGAGUGGAGCUGAGUGUACCUAUAGAAUAAGCACCGGCUAACUCCGU
Molecule: ribosomal RNA, 478 nt
Filed under: uncultured bacterium
Lineage: Bacteria
Description: bacterial SSU rRNA
Rfam family: Bacterial small subunit ribosomal RNA
Source: RNAcentral